Eurytemora carolleeae is the source of this 278-nucleotide long non-coding RNA. RefSeq lists it as uncharacterized. The transcript is spliced from 3 exons. The record is from RefSeq and is a predicted model, not a curated record. NCBI's taxonomy places the organism in Eukaryota, Metazoa, Arthropoda, Copepoda, Calanoida, Temoridae.
UUUUACUCUGCAACAUUAGAAAUAGAAGUUGUUUAAAAAGUUCACUGUAAUCUUGCCAGAACUCUACCCUGUGUAGUCCAGACUGGACAGUACGACGGAAUGCACACCUACAGUACAUGUUGUACCGGCUCGGAUAAUGUUACGAUUGGAGCAAUAUGUACUUCAAACGAAGAUUUUUCUUGGAGUCUAAUUCCAUGUGGAACUCCAGAAGCAUCGAGAGCAGAGAUAACUAGCAGCCAAAUAAUCUUUCUUUAAACUUUAAAGUAUGUUGUAAAUGA